CCUCCUCCUCCGAGCCGGCGCUCCUUGCACCGUGGCAUUUUGAGUUGGCUCAGGGACCAGAUCUUCAACUUUCACUCUAGUCAAGAUGCCCCAGUGAGUGGGAGAGGAGGAUGGGGGUCCAACUGAGUUCCUCUGGGGUCACACUUUUCCUUCCAAGGUCUCCUACAACCUUACUUCCAGGCAUUUCAGAACUAAAGACAGCAGCAGAUGACCUGCGCUUUCCUGGCAUUUAGCUUCUUAACAUCUGGGAUCAUAAACUCCUCAUCUCUAGAGCAUAAAUGCUAGCACACAGCUCAAAAAAUGUUCAUUGGGAUACAGUGAAUUUCCCUGAACCGUGGUUUGCUGACCAAGCUCACUGAUGGUGGAGGUGAAAUCACCAAAUAGUAUUCUAAAAGCACUAGAAAUUUUAGAAAUAAAUGAGUUGAUCUGCUAUUGAUCUGCUUUAUUUAUAAGCAGAAUUCCUUAUCAUAAAAAGAAAAUAUACAACACAGCACAUUUUAUGCUAAAAAUUAAAACAGGUAUGUUUAUGUUUAAAAAAAAGGUACCAUAGAUUUUUGUUGAAACAACCUUGUGCUUGAAACUACCAUCUAAACAAAACAACAUACAGAAUACUUCACAGUGAGAUUUGACUGUAUAUUAAAAUUAGCUCUAAGAAUUUAAGACUAUGGUUUUGAUUUGCCACUUGGGGGAACAUAAUCACGAUUAAAUAAAGUCCCUUUUGUCAUGGCUUUUAUCAUGUGAGAACAGUGCUUUUGUGUUAAAUAUUUUUUAAGUGUCCCUACUCAAUAAAUUAAAUACUUCUAUUGU
Manis pentadactyla (Chinese pangolin) is the source of this 807-nucleotide long non-coding RNA. RefSeq lists it as uncharacterized. The transcript has 2 exons. Lineage: Eukaryota; Metazoa; Chordata; Mammalia; Pholidota; Manidae. The record is from RefSeq and is a predicted model, not a curated record.